AUUGAACGCUGGCGGCAUGCCUUACACAUGCAAGUCGAACGGUAACGGGCCUUCGGGUGCCGACGAGUGGCGAACGGGUGAGUAAUACAUCGGAACGUGCCCGAUCGUGGGGGAUAACGAGGCGAAAGCUUUUCUAAUACCGCAUCCGAUCUACGGAUGAAAGCAGGGGACCGCAAGGCCUUGCGCGGACGGAGCGGCCGAUGGCAGAUUAGGUAGUUGGUGGGAUAAAAGCUUACCAAGCCGACGAUCUGUAGCUGGUCUGAGAGGAUGAUCAGCCACACUGGGACUGAGACACGGCCCAGACUCCUACGGGAGGCAGCAGUGGGGAAUUUUGGACAAUGGGCGCAAGCCUGAUCCAGCCAUGCCGCGUGCAGGAUGAAGGCCUUCGGGUUGUAAACUGCUUUUGUACGGAACGAAAAGCCUUCUUUUAAUACAGGAGGGUCAUGACGGUACCGUAAGAAUAAGCACCGGCUAACUACGUG
RNAcentral lists this ribosomal RNA (482 nucleotides) under uncultured bacterium. RNAcentral describes it as "partial 16S ribosomal RNA". It matches the Rfam family "Bacterial small subunit ribosomal RNA", at positions 30 to 507 of the family's 1533-position model. The record is from RNAcentral.